UUUUUAUUCAUAAAACAUUUGAUUUUUGACUUAGUCUUGUUUAUGUGUCCUAUUAUUUAUAACUUUUUAAUUUCUUCGAUAGAAACUUUCUGCGUCACUUCCGGUUGAAGCUUCCGGUAAUCACGCCCAGGUGUGUUCAGGUGUUCUCAGGUGUGUAUAUCAUUGUCUCGAGCAGGUAAGCGGUGCGGACCGCGUGCAGCGUGGCAGCAUGUUGGAAGAAGAAGGAGCCGGGGAAGGAAACAUGAAGUCUAGAUACUCAGAACUCUGUUGACGUCUUCCAGGAGGAUCCCCCGUCGGUGGCCGUCUUCCUGCUCAGGUUGGAGACUCAAAGCUUUCUUAAUGUUGUUUUGUUAUGUUUUAGGUCUUAUAGAUGUUUAGACUCAGUUAUUCUAAUCAUUUGACUUCAUCCCUUUUAUAGGAAGGAACAUCAGGUGUUUAAUGAAAUACUACAUUUUAUAAUCCUUAUUUCAUGAAACACCUGAUGUUCCUCCACUCCAAAAAGGAUCAAAUGAUUAAAAUAACUGAGUCUAAACAUCUAUAAAACCUGGAACAUAAUAAAACAUUGAGAAAGCUUUGCAUCUCCUACCCAAUGGGGAUGCCUGUGACACCUUAUUGUGUUGUGCUGAUGUCAUGUCUCGAAUAUUGUAAUAAAACUACUGCUUUA
This is a non-coding RNA of Labrus bergylta (ballan wrasse), 664 nucleotides long. The record is from RefSeq and is a predicted model, not a curated record. NCBI's taxonomy places the organism in Eukaryota, Metazoa, Chordata, Actinopteri, Labriformes, Labridae.